GUAGGUGGCAAGCGUUGUCCGGAAUUAUUGGGCGUAAAGCGCGCGCAGGCGGUUCUUUAAGUCUGAUGUGAAAGCCCACGGGCUCAACCGUGGAGGGUCAUUGGAAACUGGAGAACUUGAGUACAGAAGAGGAAAGCGGAAUUCCACGUGUAGCGGUGAAAUGCGUAGAGAUGUGGAGGAACACCAGUGGCGAAGGCGGCUUUCUGGUCUGUAACUGACGCUGAGGCGCGAAAGCGUGGGGAGCAAACAGGAUUAGAUACCCUGGUAGUCCACGCCGUAAACGAUGAGUGCUAAGUGUUAGGGGGUUCCGCCCCUUAGUGCUGCAGCUAACGCAUUAAGCACUCCGCCUGGGGAGUACGGCCACAAGGCUG
RNAcentral lists this ribosomal RNA (371 nucleotides) under uncultured organism. Its description in RNAcentral is "partial 16S ribosomal RNA". It matches the Rfam family "Bacterial small subunit ribosomal RNA", at positions 527 to 896 of the family's 1533-position model. The record is from RNAcentral.